GUAGGUGGCAAGCGUUGUCCGGAAUUAUUGGGCGUAAAGCGCGCGCAGGCGGUUCUUUAAGUCUGAUGUGAAAGCCCACGGCUCAACCGUGGAGGGUCAUUGGAAACUGGAGAACUUGAGUACAGAAGAGGAAAGCGGAAUUCCACGUGUAGCGGUGAAAUGCGUAGAGAUGUGGAGGAACACCAGUGGCGAAGGCGGCUUUCUGGUCUGUAACUGACGCUGAGGCGCGAAAGCGUGGGGGAGCAAACAGGAUUAGAUACCCUGGUAGUCCACGCCGUAAACGAUGAGUGCUAAGUGUUAGGGGGUUUCCGCCCCUUGGUGCUGCAGCUAACGCAUUAAGCACUCCGCCUGGGAGUACGGCCGCAAGGCUG
RNAcentral lists this ribosomal RNA (371 nucleotides) under uncultured organism. RNAcentral's name for it is "partial 16S ribosomal RNA". It matches the Rfam family "Bacterial small subunit ribosomal RNA", at positions 527 to 896 of the family's 1533-position model. The record is from RNAcentral.